RNAcentral lists this ribosomal RNA (491 nucleotides) under uncultured Prochlorococcus sp. Its description in RNAcentral is "bacterial SSU rRNA". It matches the Rfam family "Bacterial small subunit ribosomal RNA", at positions 505 to 994 of the family's 1533-position model. The record is from RNAcentral. Lineage: Bacteria; Bacillati; Cyanobacteriota; Cyanophyceae; Synechococcales; Prochlorococcaceae.
GUGCCAGCAGCCGCGGUAAUACGGGAGUGGCAAGCGUUAUCCGGAAUUAUUGGGCGUAAAGCGUCCGCAGGCGGCCUUUCAAGUCUGCUGUUAAAGCGUGGAGCUUAACUCCAUUAUGGCAGUGGAAACUGAUCGGCUUGAGUAUGGUAGGGGCAGAGGGAAUUCCCGGUGUAGCGGUGAAAUGCGUAGAUAUCGGGAAGAACACCAGUGGCGAAGGCGCUCUGCUGGGCCAUUACUGACGCUCAUGGACGAAAGCCAGGGGAGCGAAAGGGAUUAGAUACCCCUGUAGUCCUGGCCGUAAACGAUGAACACUAGGUGUCGGGGGAAUCGACCCCUUCGGUGUCGUAGCUAACGCGUUAAGUGUUCCGCCUGGGGAGUACGCACGCAAGUGUGAAACUCAAAGGAAUUGACGGGGGCCCGCACAAGCGGUGGAGUAUGUGGUUUAAUUCGAUGCAACGCGAAGAACCUUACCAGGGUUUGACAUCCCUGGA